CAAGAAACCCACCUACGAUGGGGCGGGGGUGGAGUAACAGGUUUGGUUUACCAUGGUUCAGCCUGGAGAUCCAGGAGUGAACAAGAUGAUGAUAAGAUUCCCUUCCAGCUUUGGGUCUAAUGAUCCUGGGUGCUCCUGAAACUGCUCAGGUGGUCAGUGAGUGCCCCCCUGGUAAUUUCUGCCCAGAAUGAUUGACAGGAGAGACAACAAGUUCCUGGCCUGCGUUUCACCCCAGUGGCCGAUGCAUCUGAAAUGCCUGCAGUUCUCAGCUCUUGAACAGAACUGAGGAGUCUUGAAAGAGGCCAUGGCAUGCCCUGUGGGGUCUCCAGGCAGCUUUGAUAGGCCCAGUUGGCAUUUGCUAUAAAAACUUAUUAAAUCCAGGCCUUUCUUCUGCAACUGAGACUCCAGAACAGCUGCCCCUGACAAACAAUAAAGAAGAGCUAUCGAAGUCACAUCAUGGGCUGGAACCAGAAA
Molecule: long non-coding RNA, 474 nt
Filed under: Homo sapiens (human)
Lineage: Eukaryota; Metazoa; Chordata; Mammalia; Primates; Hominidae
Description: non-protein coding lnc-CALB2-1:4
Source: RNAcentral